RNAcentral lists this ribosomal RNA (511 nucleotides) under Cercospora capsici. Its description in RNAcentral is "eukaryotic LSU rRNA". The stretch from base 151 to 304 matches the Rfam family "5.8S ribosomal RNA". The record is from RNAcentral. Lineage: Eukaryota; Fungi; Ascomycota; Dothideomycetes; Mycosphaerellales; Mycosphaerellaceae.
GGUCCUGGGAUGGAGGCCUUCGGGCUCGACCUCCACCCUUUGUGAACACAACUUGUUGCUUCGGGGGCGACCCUGCCGUUUCGACGGCGAGCGCCCCCGGAGGCCUUCAAACACUGCAUCUUUGCGUCGGAGUUUAAGUAAAUUAAACAAAACUUUCAACAACGGAUCUCUUGGUUCUGGCAUCGAUGAAGAACGCAGCGAAAUGCGAUAAGUAAUGUGAAUUGCAGAAUUCAGUGAAUCAUCGAAUCUUUGAACGCACAUUGCGCCCCUUGGUAUUCCGAGGGGCAUGCCUGUUCGAGCGUCAUUUCACCACUCAAGCCUCGCUUGGUAUUGGGCGCCGCGGUGUUCCGCGCGCCUCAAAGUCUCCGGCUGAGCUGUCCGUCUCUAAGCGUUGUGAUUUCAUUAAUCGCUUCGGAGCGCGGGCGGUCGCGGCCGUUAAAUCUUUUACAAGGUUGACCUCGGAUCAGGUAGGGAUACCCGCUGAACUUAAGCAUAUCAAAAGCCGGAGGAA